ACAAUGGCGCAUACAAAGAGAAGCGACCUCGCGAGAGCAAGCGGACCUCAUAAAGUGCGUCGUAGUCCGGAUUGGAGUCUGCAACUCGACUCCAUGAAGUCGGAAUCGCUAGUAAUCGUGGAUCAGAAUGCCACGGUGAAUACGUUCCCGGGCCUUGUACACACCGCCCGUCACACCAUGGGAGUGGGUUGCAAAAGAAGUAGGUAGCUUAACCUUCGGGAGGGCGCUUACCACUUUGUGAUUCAUGACUGGGGUGAAGUCGUAACAAGGUAACCGUAGGGGAACCUGC
This 289-nucleotide ribosomal RNA is filed under the name Salmonella enterica. Its description in RNAcentral is "partial 16S ribosomal RNA". It matches the Rfam family "Bacterial small subunit ribosomal RNA", at positions 1227 to 1515 of the family's 1533-position model. Lineage: Bacteria; Pseudomonadati; Pseudomonadota; Gammaproteobacteria; Enterobacterales; Enterobacteriaceae. RNAcentral also lists the same sequence under 1 other name. The record is from RNAcentral.